RNAcentral lists this ribosomal RNA (432 nucleotides) under uncultured bacterium. RNAcentral describes it as "bacterial SSU rRNA". It matches the Rfam family "Bacterial small subunit ribosomal RNA", at positions 917 to 1350 of the family's 1533-position model. The record is from RNAcentral.
GGGCCCGCACAAGCGGUGGAGUAUGUGGUUUAAUUCGAUGCAACGCGAAGAACCUUACCAGGGUUUGACAUCCUGCGAAUCUCUUGGAAACGAGAGAGUGCCUUCGGGAGCGCAGUGACAGGUGGUGCAUGGCUGUCGUCAGCUCGUGUCGUGAGAUGUUGGGUUAAGUCCCGCAACGAGCGCAACCCACGUCUUUAGUUGCCAGCAUUUAGUUGGGCACUCUAGAGAGACCGCCGGUGAUAAACCGGAGGAAGGUGUGGAUGACGUCAAGUCAUCAUGCCCCUUACAUCCUGGGCUACACACGUACUACAAUGCUACGGACAAAGAGCAGCAAGUUCGCGAGGACAAGCAAAUCUCAUAAACCGUGGCUCAGUUCAGAUCGUAGGCUGCAACUCGACUUCGUGAAGUCGGAAUCGCUAGUAAUCGCGAAUC